Molecule: ribosomal RNA, 671 nt
Filed under: uncultured Gemmatimonadota bacterium
Lineage: Bacteria; Pseudomonadati; Gemmatimonadota
Description: SSU rRNA
Rfam family: Bacterial small subunit ribosomal RNA
Source: RNAcentral
CUAGUUGGCGGGGUAAUGGCCCACCAAGGCGACGACGGGUAGCUGGUCUGAGAGGAUGGCCAGCCACAUUGGGACUGAGAGACGGCCCAGACUCCUACGGGAGGCAGCAGUGGGGAAUCUUGCGCAAUGGCCGAAAGGCUGACGCAGCGACGCCGCGUGUGGGAGGAAGCUCUUCGGGGUGUAAACCACUGUUGCCCGGGACGAAACUCUCCUUUGGAGGAGAUUGACGGUACCGGGUGAGGAAGCACCGGCUAACUCUGUGCCAGCAGCCGCGGUAAUACAGAGGGUGCGAGCGUUGUCCGGAAUCACUGGGCGUAAAGGGCGCGUAGGCGGCUCAGUAAGGUUGCGGUGAAAGCCCGGGGCUCAACCCCGGGUCGGCCGUGGCAACUGCUGGGCUGGAGCACUGUAGAGGCAGGUGGAAUUCCGGGUGUAGCGGUGGAAUGCGUAGAGAUCCGGAAGAACACCGGUGGCGAAGGCGGCCUGCUGGGCAGUAGCUGACGCUGAUGCGCGACAGCGUGGGGAGCAAACAGGAUUAGAUACCCUGGUAGUCCACGCCGUAAACGAUGGGCACUAGGUGCUUGGGGGAGCGACCCUCCGAGUGCCGGCGCUAACGCAUUAAGUGCCCCGCCUGGGGAGUACGGCCGCAAGGCUGAAACUCAAAGGAAUUGACG